AGACUUUUGUAUUUAUAAUUUACAUGCGCAUAUAUUUUUGCACAUGUAUUACUUUGGGGUUAUACUUACCUGAUAGUCGAACUGUGAAUUAUCAGCGAAUUCUUCCAUGAGAACAAGAGUGUUAAUACUACUUAAUACCAAAAAAAAUAUAUUAAAAUAAAUACGUUAUUUUUAUUCAUGUAUUAACACAAAGACAUAUUUUUUUCCAAUAAUUUAUACGAUGUUCUAUAUUUAUUUUAUUUGGAGGAUA
This 250-nucleotide long non-coding RNA is filed under the name Trifolium pratense (red clover). RNAcentral describes it as "long non-coding RNA (TPRA_LNC008202)". Lineage: Eukaryota; Viridiplantae; Streptophyta; Magnoliopsida; Fabales; Fabaceae. The record is from RNAcentral.